CUUUGGCAUUCAAUCUUUUAUGGCUUUAUAUUGUUACAGCAGGAGUGUUUUCCUGUGUUUUGUUUCCCCACCCGAAAUACAGGCUGGUCAAGGGCAGGGAAUACAUGUUUGUACAGGUCUGUGUUUGAGAACUUCCUUGUUCAUCCGGUAUAACAAUCUAUACCGAGUAGAUUCAUUUUUACCUCUUGAGUGACUAGUAGGUGCCAUGGGGAGCGUCAGAAAUACUCAAGAUGUGGUCCCAGGCCUCAAGUGAGUAGUAUCUUAUUUGGGCAAACAUUGUGUACAUAUGUGGAACGGUAUAAGAAUUUGGAGUUACAUAAAGCAAAUAAUCGGAGAAGGCAGUGGCACCCCACUCCAGCAGAAGAGGUUGAUAAUGAAAUGGUUGAGGGGACUCUCUAUUUUGAUAUGACUGAAAGCACCAAGAAGAGAAACCGAAUUUUGCAUUUCAAAGCUGAGAGAGCAGUAGGACUCUUGCGUGGCAGACUCUUGUUGAAUUCUAGGACAGUGAUUCACAAGGACAAAGAGCCGUGACUGUUAAGGAUACUAGUUCAGUGUCUGCUCAUGUGAAAUAAAACAGUACUGAAUGAACUUGUUACUACCGUUCUUUUAAAAAACACUUUUAAACCCCUAGUGAAUGUAACUUACCAGGAUGGGCAUGUCACGGAAGGCUUCUGGUGCCCACUUGUCCGGUUGCCUUGUCCUUACGUGAAAUCUUGACCCACUUCUUCAGCUUGUCUUGGACAAUCAAGCACUCUUGGGGCCCGGAGGCCUCUUCCAACCAAGUCGUAUUUCUCUGGUGAAAAAAAAAGUAAAACAGCACUGCUGCUUUGGUGUGAGACCUGGAGGGAGGUCACUCGGAAGCCACGUGGACUCGGAUGAGGGCCCGCAAACAGAACCCAGCAAGAUGAAGGAAAACGGUAUUCUUCGAAAGCCCAGUUUUGUGUCCCUUUAGUUGGGAGACGACAGUGUUAUCUUGUGGGUGUUGGGCACCGACAGAGUCCACUGAACCCACAUGACCCCGCCGAUAGGGAGCACCGCCAUUGGCCCUGGAAUCCAAGGAGGAGGUGCCCUGGAGCAGGCCUGGGCCUGGUUAGCAGCUCUGCAGGGCAUCCUACCUUGGAAACAGCACAGUUUGGCUUCCACGUCUUCUGUGGGCUUAGAGAAUCCUUUUUUCACCAUGUCAUCAGUAGGGACAGAGAACCAGGUUGGUUCCUUCAAGACGUGUCCCAGUGCCUUGGAAUAGCAGCUGUUCCCAGAAGUGAAUGAUCAUGGCAGGUGGCUGUGCAUAGACUGUAGGGCCAAGUGACCGAUAUAACAUUCAUGGAAGAAUGGUUUAAAACACUGA
This 1345-nucleotide long non-coding RNA is filed under the name Bos taurus (domestic cattle). RNAcentral describes it as "long non-coding RNA NONBTAT016752". The record is from RNAcentral. Lineage: Eukaryota; Metazoa; Chordata; Mammalia; Artiodactyla; Bovidae.